Molecule: long non-coding RNA, 1276 nt
Organism: Macrobrachium nipponense
Lineage: Eukaryota; Metazoa; Arthropoda; Malacostraca; Decapoda; Palaemonidae
Exons: 3
Source: RefSeq, a predicted model, not a curated record
CCACCCCUGGCAACUAAGAGCAUGAUAUGGGUAUAUAAAUUUGGGGCUAUGGUGACUCUCUUGGCCAUACCUGAAUUAGAACUGACUCCGAAAGCAGACUUGUUCACGUUACCAUCUAAUUUUCACAGACAAUGAAGACUUCCACGCUUGUUGUUGUUCUCUCUAUUGCUUUGAUGCAGUGUUUCAAGGGCAUCCCCGCCAGCCCUUUGGUCCCAUGCCCGGAUGAAGUCUCCAAGGGCUGUCCUCAUCAUGUGGAAGAAUUCCCUGUGUAUUACUCUCAUCCUGAUGACUGCUCCAAAUUUUGUGAGUGUGGCGCAGAGGCCAUUGCUUGGGAAGUCACCUGCAGGCCAGGACUACUUUGGAAUGAUGCCCUGCCGGCCUGUGACUGGGCUGUCAAUGUUGACUGCGGUGAUAGACCAAGGCCAUGAAAUCAAGAUAUCCAGCAGAUCUUCAGGACUUCUUACUUCACUCACAGGGGAUAUUGACCUGAAGACUCAAAUACUCUGACUUUCAAUCACGGAGAUCGUUUGAAAGUUGUUGGCGUUCACUAUAUGUACAUUCGAAAUUAUAAUCAAAUGUUUUGUACAUAACUGAUAUCCUAUUAGUCUGUCAUCUGUUUACUCAUAUCAGAAUUAUAGGAAACCAUUUUAAAUAGUCUAAUUCUUUAAUCUGUAGUACAUACAUCAAUUGAGAAACUGUAGUCGGCAUAUAAGUCAGAAAGAAGUUUGGCAAUGCAGCUAGUGAUGGUCAUGUUCAUAGUAAUUUUGGCUUGACUAUAGGCUGCACUGUCUUGGUAGUGCAGUCAAAAUUUAUCCUCCAUCAACCAAACUCAUUGUGGUCCUGUUUUGUCUCCAUACAGGUUUGAUCCAAGGGCAUGUUAUAACUUUUCAGAGGGGGCUUGGAGAAUAUUUGGAGUUACAUAAAAAGAAACAUAUCUAAAGCCACCUUUGCAAAUCAGACAGGUGCAUUAUGAAAGUUAAUGACAUGGACAACAGGAGCACAUGAUCAAAACAGAUGGAUUAAUUCCCUCCCAAAAGAUUGCAAUGCUAGCACCAUCAUCAGUCAUUGUCAGUUAAAGUUCUUAUAUUCUUGAAGGAAACCGUAAUUUGUGAUCCAAAGAUUUUCUGAUCUAAUGAGUUGUUAAAAGCUCACCUAAUCACUCAUUAAAUAUUCAAGGGCAAAGAUAAUCUGAGUGAACUAAGUGGAGCAAAAAAAUUUGAUAUUUGCUUCUUCAUACUUUAAAAUCACUUUGGAUAAUAAACUAUUUUUUAAAUUC